AGAGUUUGAUCCUGGCUCAGGAUGAACGCUAGCGGCAGGCUUAACACAUGCAAGUCGAGGGGCAGCGGGGAGGAAGCUUGCUUUCUCCGCCGGCGACCGGCGCACGGGUGAGUAACACGUAUGCAACCUGCCCCUGUCAGGGGGACAACCCGCCGAAAGGCGGGCUAAACCCGCGUACAUGCCACCGGGGCAUCCCGGAGGCAGGAAAGGCUUCGGCCGGACAGGGAUGGGCAUGCGGCGCAUUAGGCAGUAGGCGGGGUAACGGCCCACCUAACCGACGAUGCGUAGGGGUUCUGAGAGGAAGGUCCCCCACACUGGUACUGAGACACGGACCAGACUCCUACGGGAGGCAGCAGUGAGGAAUAUUGGUCAAUGGUCGGGAGACUGAACCAGCCAAGCCGCGUGAGGGAGGAAGGUACAGAGUAUCGUAAACCUCUUUUGUCAGGGAACAAAGGCGGGGACGUGUCCCCGGAUGAGUGUACCUGAAGAAAAAGCAUCGGCUAACCCCGUGCCAGCAGCCGCGGUAAUACGGAGGAUGCGAGCGUUAUCCGGAUUUAUUGGGUUUAAAGGGUGCGCAGGCGGUCUGUUAAGUCAGCGGUCAAAGCCCGGGGCUCAACCCCGGCCCGCCGUUGAAACUGGCAGUCUCGAGUUGGAGAGAAGUAUGCGGAAUGCGCGGUGUAGCGGUGAAAUGCAUAGAUAUCGCGCAGAACUCCGAUUGCGAAGGCAGCAUGCCGGCUCCACACUGACGCUGAGGCACGAAAGCGUGGGUAUCGAACAGGAUUAGAUACCCUGGUAGUCCACGCAGUAAACGAUGAAUGCUGGCUGUCCGGGGGGAUUGACCCCUGGGUGGCGAAGCGAAAGCGAUAAGCAUUCCACCUGGGGAGUACGCCGGCAACGGUGAAACUCAAAGGAAUUGACGGGGGCCCGCACAAGCGGAGGAACAUGUGGUUUAAUUCGAUGAUACGCGAGGAACCUUACCCGGGCUCAAACGGGGAGUGGCGCAGGCAGAGACGCCUGUUUCCCACGGGACACUCCCCGAGGUGCUGCAUGGUUGUCGUCAGCUCGUGCCGUGAGGUGUCGGCUUAAGUGCCAUAACGAGCGCAACCCCCGCGUGCAGUUGCUAACAGUCAACGCUGAGGACUCUGCACGGACUGCCGGCGCAAGCCGCGAGGAAGGCGGGGAUGACGUCAAAUCAGCACGGCCCUUACGUCCGGGGCGACACACGUGUUACAAUGGGUGGUACAGCGGGAAGCCAGGCGGCGACGCCGAGCGGAACCCGAAAUCCACUCUCAGUUCGGAUCGGAGUCUGCAACCCGACUCCGUGAAGCUGGAUUCGCUAGUAAUCGCGCAUCAGCCAUGGCGCGGUGAAUACGUUCCCGGGCCUUGCACACAACGCCCGUCAAG
This 1404-nucleotide ribosomal RNA is filed under the name uncultured bacterium. RNAcentral's name for it is "bacterial SSU rRNA". It matches the Rfam family "Bacterial small subunit ribosomal RNA". The record is from RNAcentral.